This 472-nucleotide ribosomal RNA is filed under the name uncultured bacterium. RNAcentral's name for it is "bacterial SSU rRNA". It matches the Rfam family "Bacterial small subunit ribosomal RNA", at positions 355 to 825 of the family's 1533-position model. The record is from RNAcentral.
UGGGGAAUCUUGGACAAUGGGCGAAAGCCUGAUCCAGCAAUGCCGCGUGCAGGAAGAAGGCCUUCGGGUUGUAAACUGCUUUUGUACGGAACGAAAAGGCUCUUUCUAAUAAAGAGGGCCCAUGACGGUACCGUAAGAAUAAGCACCGGCUAACUACGUGCCAGCAGCCGCGGUAAUACGUAGGGUGCGAGCGUUAAUCGGAAUUACUGGGCGUAAAGCGUGCGCAGGCGGUUCUAUAAGACAGAUGUGAAAUCCCCGGGCUCAACCUGGGAAUGGCAUUUGUGACUGUAGAGCUAGAGUACGGUAGAGGGGGAUGGAAUUCCGCGUGUAGCAGUGAAAUGCGUAGAUAUGCGGAGGAACACCGAUGGCGAAGGCAAUCCCCUGGACCUGUACUGACGCUCAUGCACGAAAGCGUGGGGAGCAAACAGGAUUAGAUACCCCUGUAGUCCCUGAGCGGGCUGGCAAGGCGCAU